GGUGACCUAGUGGUUAGAGAGCCCGACUCUGAUGCGGGAGGUCGCAGGUUCGAACCCUGUCAGAGUCA
Non-coding RNA from Potamilus streckersoni, 68 nucleotides. The record is from the annotation of a GenBank genome assembly. NCBI's taxonomy places the organism in Eukaryota, Metazoa, Mollusca, Bivalvia, Unionida, Unionidae.